Orcinus orca (killer whale) is the source of this 300-nucleotide long non-coding RNA. RefSeq lists it as uncharacterized. NCBI's taxonomy places the organism in Eukaryota, Metazoa, Chordata, Mammalia, Artiodactyla, Delphinidae. The record is from RefSeq and is a predicted model, not a curated record. The transcript has 2 exons.
GUGCUCCAGACCCGUAAAUAUGCAGUUCACAGAGCCCACCACCAGAGGGCAAUAAAGAAAGACAGAAACACACAGAGACAAUUCCAUGUGACAACAGUGGAAGAGACCAGAGUGAUGCAGCUGCAAAUCAAAAAACUGCCAACACCAGUGAUUGAUGGCCACCACCAGAAUCUGGUUAAGACAAAGAAGGAUCCUCCCCUUGAGGCGUCAGAAAGAACAUGGCCCUCUCAACACUUUGAGUUUGAACUUCUGGCCUCUAGAGCUGUGAUAAAAUAAAUUUCUGUUCUUUUAAGCUAACAA